UGACGUCAAAUCAUCAUGCCCCUUAUGACCUGGGCUACACACGUGCUACAAUGGUUGGUACAACGAGUUGCGAGUCGGUGACGGCGAGCUAAUCUCUUAAAGCCAAUCUCAGUUCGGAUUGUAGGCUGCAACUCGCCUACAUGAAGUCGGAAUCGCUAGUAAUCGCAGAUCAGCACGCCGCGGUGAAUACGUUCCCGGGCCUU
This 203-nucleotide ribosomal RNA is filed under the name uncultured Streptococcus sp. RNAcentral describes it as "partial 16S ribosomal RNA". It matches the Rfam family "Bacterial small subunit ribosomal RNA", at positions 1180 to 1382 of the family's 1533-position model. Lineage: Bacteria; Bacillati; Bacillota; Bacilli; Lactobacillales; Streptococcaceae. The record is from RNAcentral.